This 443-nucleotide long non-coding RNA is filed under the name Trifolium pratense (red clover). RNAcentral's name for it is "long non-coding RNA (TPRA_LNC006793)". The record is from RNAcentral. Lineage: Eukaryota; Viridiplantae; Streptophyta; Magnoliopsida; Fabales; Fabaceae.
CUUGACAAUUCAAAUUGAGAGUGAAGUGAAUCCACAUGGUUUGAUCACAAGUUGCAAGGGCUUAGAAUUCUUUUCAAUUUCUAUAUAUCUCUUUCGAAUCGAAUCAAGAAUUUUAGGGUUCAGAAACAUGAAACCCUAACAUGACGAUGUUGAAUCGUUCAGAAAUUUCUUUAGGGUUCGAGCAAUGAGAUAUUGGAAGACAUUAACGAAAGAACAAGAACGAAUCGGUUUCCCUAACAGAGAAGAAAUCGAAUCGGGGACUCACACUUGGAGGGAGAUUUUUCCAUUAACGAAAGAACGAAUCGGUUUCGCUAACGGAGAAGAAAUUGGGUCGAAGAUCGGUUUCUUGUUACUAGGGUUGAAUUGAUUCGAUGAUCAAUUACAAAGAAAUUGAAUUCGAAAUUGGAAAGAUUGAAAACGGUAACAAAGAAACCCAAACACAA